UUCUUUCUUAUCCUGGGUGAACAGUGCUCAGCUGAAGUGACUGCCCCACUGUCACUGACUCUCCAUUUGGUACUGUAUAACUCUGUGACUAUCAAGAAGCUUUGUUUUUUUUCCUAUCCCCAAAAGCUCUUUUUGGAAAAUUACCUACAAGAGCUGAAUUUUUAAGCACAUUUACUUGAUAGGAAGCAACAGAAAGGUAAGAGUCAAGUUUGUAAAGAGAAGAGCUGGACUUCAG
This 235-nucleotide long non-coding RNA is filed under the name Marmota monax (woodchuck). The record is from RNAcentral. Lineage: Eukaryota; Metazoa; Chordata; Mammalia; Rodentia; Sciuridae.